GUGGGGAAUAUUGGACAAUGGGGGGAACCCUGAUCCAGCCAUGCCGCGUGUGUGAAGAAGGUCUUUUGGUUGUAAAGCACUUUAAGCGAGGAGGAGGCUACCGAGAUUAAUACUCUUGGAUAGUGGACGUUACUCGCAGAAUAAGCACCGGCUAACUCUGUGCCAGCAGCCGCGGUAAUACAGAGGGUGCAAGCGUUAAUCGGAUUUACUGGGCGUAAAGCGCGCGUAGGUGGCCAAUUAAGUCAAAUGUGAAAUCCCCGAGCUUAACUUGGGAAUUGCAUUCGAUACUGGUUGGCUAGAGUAUGGGAGAGGAUGGUAGAAUUCCAGGUGUAGCGGUGAAAUGCGUAGAGAUCUGGAGGAAUACCGAUGGCGAAGGCAGCCAUCUGGCCUAAUACUGACACUGAGGUGCGAAAGCAUGGGGAGCAAACAGGAUUAGAUACCCGAGUAGUCC
This 451-nucleotide ribosomal RNA is filed under the name uncultured bacterium. RNAcentral describes it as "partial 16S ribosomal RNA". It matches the Rfam family "Bacterial small subunit ribosomal RNA", at positions 354 to 796 of the family's 1533-position model. The record is from RNAcentral.